UACGUAGGGACCAAGCGUUGUUCGGAUUUACUGGGCGUAAAGGGCGCGUAGGCGGCGUGUCAAGUCAAUUGUGAAAUCUCCGAGCUUAACUCGGAACGGUCAAUUGAUAACUGAUGUGCUAGAGUGCAGAAGGGGCAAUCGGAAUUCUUGGUGUAGCGGUGAAAUGCGUAGAUAUCAAGAGGAACACCUGAGGUGAAGACGGGUUGCUGGGCUGACACUGACGCUGGAGGCGCGAAAGCUAGGGUAGCAAACGGG
This 255-nucleotide ribosomal RNA is filed under the name uncultured bacterium. RNAcentral's name for it is "partial 16S ribosomal RNA". It matches the Rfam family "Bacterial small subunit ribosomal RNA", at positions 524 to 776 of the family's 1533-position model. The record is from RNAcentral.